Hirundo rustica (Barn swallow) is the source of this 3910-nucleotide long non-coding RNA. RefSeq lists it as uncharacterized. NCBI's taxonomy places the organism in Eukaryota, Metazoa, Chordata, Aves, Passeriformes, Hirundinidae. The transcript is spliced from 5 exons. The record is from RefSeq and is a predicted model, not a curated record.
GUGGAGCUGCCUCUGCAGAGACACACAAAAACAGGCUUUAGUUUUUUAAAGAUCUGGACACAGUGCAAGGGUUAUUGCAACAGUCGUGCUGUGAGGGAACAAUGAAGUAGUGGGAAAGGGCUCUCCUAUCUGAGGAAAGUUUGUAAGAAAACAGGAUAUUUGUCUCUGAAGAGGUUGUCUGCUACUUAUUUCCUGCGUAAACUUCCUGCUGUUGCUACUUCAGAAACUACUGUCUAAUCCACUUGUGUCCCAGGCCUUUAACUGUCACUAAGCACCUGGACCCCAGACCAUGGAUGUUCAAAAUUAAUUCAUUCUCCCAUAUCAACCCUGCCCUUAAUUUCUUUAGCAUCCUCUGGCUGGGUCAUGUGACAAGUUUUUCCUCACUCUCUCUUUCCUUGAAUAAUCAUUUUGUUCACCUCUCCCUCAAAUUUCCCUGUUUCCUCACAUGCCAUUCUUCACAGUACUUAAAUUUGAACUGUCUGUUGAAGCUUGGGGAUAGAAAGUCCUUGCUUUUGUGGAUGUUCCAGCACUGUCUCACAGCGCACAGAAAACACCCACAAUCUUGCAAAUAUCCCAGGAAAUUUGAUUUCCUGGGCUUUUAAACUCUGUGUCCAUUCCUUUCAUCCUCUAAUUAGUUCACUUGUUACGAGCUUACUUUAGUUUAACUAGUCUCUGUGGGGCGUGGGAGUGAGGUAAUAGCAUGCCUUUUUUUAAUUUUUUUUUUUUUUUUUAAAGUGAUAAAAUGCCAUUUUCUUCCAUUAGGACAAAUGACACAGUCAGCUGUGUAUUAAAAGGUCAAUGUACAAAAACCGUAUAAAAGUAUCGAUCAGUCUGGAAGCUAGUUGUUAUUUUUGUAAUGCCCUGGUGACACAAUGAUUAAACUGAUUAAGCCAUAAAUGAUGGGGACAUCAACUUCUGUCAGUUCAGCUCCUGGAAUAGCCCUCCAUCCCCCAGUCUCCCAGUGUUCUGGAUAAAUGUGCUUUGAGUUCGUCGUAAAAUGCCAGGUCAAUGGACUGCCGAGUACUCAAACAAAGCAGAAUGUCCUGACCAUGUGCAAAGCCAGUUCUCCUGCCUGUGCUGCCACAGGUGAAAUCAAGGCAAUGAAAUGUGAGCAGUUGGCAGACCUACAGCAGAUGCCAUCUCAGUUUGUUUGUGAUGAAGUGUCACAUACCCAGAGCUGGUGACGAGGGAGCUGAAGUGGGAGUGCGUCAAGACGACGUUUGUGUCAGUGCACUCUGUAGCACAGCCUGUGUUGGCUCACUUGCUAGGCAACCUCUGAAUGCUGCCUUUCUCAAGUGUUUGGGAGGAGGACUUUUCUUGUGUCUUUCUCAUUGAUGCCUGGAAGAGUUUAAUGACAGCCAAGGGAGUUAAAAAUGGAGCUACUUGCUUCUUCAGUCUUUGGUGAGAUGAGCUUGUGAAACUGCAGACUUGCUUCAUUGUUACAUAUUAAUGGUUAAGAGUGUAGUAGCACCUAGAAGGAAAGACAAGAAUACAAACCAGGCUUCUGCUUGACAAAUGCCCUCAUUCUUUGCUGGACAAAUAUGUGACAAAAGGAAAGAAGCAAGGCAGAAAGAGAUGGAGGUACACAGGGAGACAGCAGCAACAAUGGAGUGGAAGCUGAAUAACCAUGUCUUCCAGGUUCCUCCAUAAGCCUUUUUCUCUUCAGUCCUUUUAUAGAAGAUCUUGUUGGCAAUCAAAGUAGAAAUGGAGGCUAAAGACUGAGCAUGCAGUGGGAGAAGGUGGAAGCUUGAAACCUUGAGACACUUCUCUUCUGUCCUGUGAAGAGGGAUUGUCACAGGACUGAUGUCAGAAGAAUGGAAAUGGAUUAGUCUCAGAGAACCUGUGCAAAAGAGUGACCAAUGAAAGAUCUGAAUCUCAGUAACACUUCUGUGUCUGACGCAGCUCAGAGAAAAAAGGAUUCUUGAAUUACAGGAGAGUUUCAAUUACACAGAUUGUUGGUGCAAUGCGUGGUCAAAAGCCUGUACGGAAUAGGUCCUUCAGAUUGCUGAGCGUGAUUUCAAGACAAGAUAUUAAGGAUAGAUGAAACAUGAUUCACAACUGUCUGGUAAAGAUGCACUACAGUCAUUUUGCCAUGAGGCAGAUGAAGUUUUUUAAUGGGCAAGGAGUGCAUUAACUCUGGUUUCUCUAAGACCCGCACUAAAAAUUAUUUUGACUGUGACAGCCACAAGCUGAAGUAAUAAAAUGAACUUAAACCUGACCCUGCAUGCAGUCUACUAACAUCUCUUCUGCCAGACAAAAUGCUUUCAGAUGUCUCUCCUAAGGCAACUGAUUAUUGAAAAGCUUUUCUUUUCCCUUAAAAAAAAAAAAAAAAAAAAAAAAAGCUUGUGACAUACCAUUUGCAUCGGUAAGAUGUUUCUCUUGGAUCUCCUCUUCCCAUCCCCUAUGUUGUUUAUGCAGCAGUCAGCAGCAGUGUUGCAUGUUCCCUUCUACCAUGGAAAUCCACUGUGUGGAAUAAGCAGAGGGAAUGAGCAAAGGGAAACUUGAGGUGUAACUGGGCAGUUGGACUUAAGGAAAAUAAAGAAUAAAUGCUUGUCAUAGAGCCUGCAUGUUAAUGAUCAGCCAGAGUUGAGAAAACAUCGAGUUCAACAGUCAUCAGGUGUGACAAAAUCCUCUUUAAGAAGGGAAUUCAAGGCCUUACUUUGUUAGGAUCAGUUCCAGACCAGGAUAUAGUAAUCAUGAGUUUCAGUGGAGGAAUUCCUUUCCUCCUCCCCAGUUCAAAAGCUUGGUUACAGCACAUGAAUGUACAGGGCUGACUUUAGAUCAUUACGUAAUGAAUUUAGGUGUCUAAGAAUAGCAGUCUCACUGAAUGGAAGAGAUGAGAGAAAGUCUGAUCCAGCCAACUGGCAAUGUGAUGGGACCUCUCUCUAUAUUGCCUGGAUUUAGAGAGUGAUCUCAGAGGUGGCAUUUUGAAAUGGAGAUUCAGCUUCUGAAACAGCUUCUGGCAGAUAAACACCUGGCCUCUAUGCUUCAGGUAAAAGCUGCUAUUUUUUCAUAAUACUUGUUUGAAGGAAGAGCCUUCAACAGUCCUUGUUUCAUACCUAGAUUACUCAUUCAGGAAGAGUUAAAGAUAGACCUUUUGUCUGCAAUGAUGCCAUAAAUAACUCUCAUAUGGGAACACUUUCCGCAUUUCUUGAGCCUUGGUCACUGUGCACAGAUUCAUUGGAAAACAAGUAGAAAGAAAUACUGUAUAGUUGAAUACUACUGUGCUUGCACCUUGAAAUUGUUUGUAAUUUUCAAUUAUUUACUUGUUCCUUUCAUUUUGAAGGCAAGAAUUAUAAAUUCAUACCACUUAAUGAAAAAACAUGAAGGAGAAGCUAUCAGAUGCUAGGUAACAAGUUCAGAUUACUUCUUCAAUGACAGGAUUGCACUUUGAGUGUUAGAGUGAAGGAUAAGAGUUUACAACUAGUUGUAAACUAGUUGGGUUUACAACUAGUGAAGCAGUAAUAGGACCCCACUAAUGUCUCUAGUGGCAUAGAAUAAGACAGAUUAAGGAACAGUUAACAUAAAAUGGCAUAAAUAUGUCAGUUCUUCUGAGCAAUAUAACAAAGGAGAGUUCAACAGGAGAGCCAUAGACUGGCACGCAGCUCGGUUGCCACAAUCAAAUAGACUGAAAACCAUCACACCCUCAAGAGGUAUAAUUUUGCUUUUUUUCUGUGCCCGUAAGCAGCGUCUGCAAAGGCAUAUUAAAUUUUUUCCAUGUCCUUUCCUCUCUUUACUUUCACCUUAGGGAUGACACAGACACUUGAUCAUUAUGAUUUCCAAUGACUCAUGCUCAGCAACACAAAGCUAAAUUGAUUACCAAUCCAUCCUCCAGGAAAUACUGGUGGGUAUCCUCAGGAAUCUAGGUUAGGUUCAGGUAAACAUCUCUCACACUGGUUCUUCUGAUGAC